This 576-nucleotide long non-coding RNA is filed under the name Manihot esculenta (cassava). RNAcentral describes it as "long non-coding RNA (MESC_LNC011251)". The record is from RNAcentral. Lineage: Eukaryota; Viridiplantae; Streptophyta; Magnoliopsida; Malpighiales; Euphorbiaceae.
AUAAUCAUGUCCACUAGGAUAGGAUGUAGAGUCCUGUCUUAAAUGAUGAUGUGAAAUGCCAUGAUUAUAUGCAUGUGCAUUGAUGUUAUGAUAUGAUAUGUGAUGUAUGUGAUGCGGGUUCAUGUGUUUGCACAUGAACCACUUGAUGCUAAUGUUCGAUGUGAUGUGUGCUGUUUUCAGAAAACAGGAUGAGAGGAACUCGUUGAUCUGCACGAUUGACUGGAGUACCACCCCAGGACGAGGGCACUGAUGCCCGUCCUCCUGCAUUGCCUAGGGCAAUGUCAAGUAGGUCCAACAGAGAAAGAGCAGUAAGAGACCCUAGAAGGUCUUUGGAUCUGGGUAGAAGCAGAUCAGUAAGGGGAACAGUGCAGGGUGAUAUGUCAGAGGAUGUGGGGGAUCAGAUGGAUGUGGAUCAGAGGAGGGAUGGCAGUUUAGGAGUGAGUAUGUCGGAAGAGGGAAUGGGAGAGUCCCAAGGAGGCACUCAGGCCUCGGGAUUUGUUCAGCCACCUUUCUACCCACCCUUUUCACAUAAUCCCGGGUAUUCGAUGGGAGGUACAUCGGAUUACCCCAGUUUUA